RNAcentral lists this long non-coding RNA (1265 nucleotides) under Canis lupus familiaris (dog). Its description in RNAcentral is "lncRNA (ENSCAFG00845017804.1)". The record is from RNAcentral. Lineage: Eukaryota; Metazoa; Chordata; Mammalia; Carnivora; Canidae.
GCGGCGGAGGCGGGCCCGGAAGGGCCACGUGCGUCCGCGGGGCGCGGGGCGCGGGGCGCGGGGGCGGGGCGGGGGCGGGGCGGGGGCGGGGCCUCGCCGGGAGCCUGCGCGGACCGGGUCCCCGCCUGGCGGCGCCGGGGGCUUGCAGGGCGGGGCGGGGCGCUGUGUCCCCGCGGAGGGUCCUGCGGGGCUGGCGGUCCCCGGGGCUGCCCUGCGCGCUGCCAGGCCACAGCAGGUGCGCUCCGCGGCAUUCCCUAGGUGGAGAAGGCAGGCAGGCUGAGAGAGCUAUUUUAGUGGCAGACGACCACUUCAGAAAGCUUAUCUCAUGGAGAAACUUCCUUUCAUUCUCUUCCCACACGGAAAUGGCCAUUAUAGUAAUAAGUCUAAUCAGAAACACCAUACAGCUGCUUUCCACACCAGGGCAGUAGGAGAAUUACAUGCAAAUCUUGAACACUGAAGAAGAGGGCCGAAGGUGGAGCUAACCUGGUGAGUGCCUUACUUACAGAUCCCUGGGGGUGGGGUGUGUUUUGGAAUCUUCUUUUCCAGGACAAUGGCUAAUAUGGUGCCUAAUGGGAUGCCUGUUACAGAGGAGUUGCUCAAUAAAUACUCCCUGAGGGGAGCAGAUCAGCUAUCCCAAACCAGGAAAGACGAGUUAUUGGAUUUAAGUAGCUCUCAGAUGCCGCUGGACCCCAUCACCCAAACCCUGAUAUAGGGGAUUGCUCCUUAAACUGCAAUGCCCUCGACUUCCCUGCCUUCUCUUCUUUUUGAAUUCCAUUUGGUCAAGUGUCACCUGCUCUCUGAAGCUUUCACUGGUUUCCCCAGAUAGAAUUAAUUCCAUCUUGCUCUUUUGUUUUCUUUUAAAAACCGUUUGACCCCAGGACUCUCCUAUAGCGAUAACCAUGCACCAGGCACUCUGAACUGCAGCUCUGAUUUGGCUUUGGGCAGACCUGGUCUCAAGUCCUAACAUCAAGAAUUACCAGCUAUAGAUUCACAAGCCACUUCUCCAAAUCUUGACUUCUUGAGUAUAGUGAGGAUAAUAACACUUAACUCAUAAGGUUAACAGAAGGAUUUGAACAUCAUCCCUGUAGACAUGUAUUUCCAUCACACCCAAACCAUCAAAAUCAGAAAUUUGGUUUCUGUUUACUUCUGUAGCACCUACUUCAGUACUAGGCAUUUAAGAGAGUCUCAAUAGUUUUUGUAUUUGUGUGUGUGAAAAAUAUAAAUGGAUGGAUGUGGUGGUAAUAAUUGUUAUGUAAUAAUUAAAU